This 253-nucleotide ribosomal RNA is filed under the name uncultured bacterium. RNAcentral describes it as "partial 16S ribosomal RNA". It matches the Rfam family "Bacterial small subunit ribosomal RNA", at positions 524 to 776 of the family's 1533-position model. The record is from RNAcentral.
UACGUAGGUGGCAAGCGGUGUCCGGAAUUAUUGGGCGUAAAGCGCGCGCAGGCGGUCCUUUAAGUCUGAUGUGAAAGCCCACGGCUCAACCGUGGAGGGUCAUUGGAAACUGGGGGACUUGAGUGCAGGAGAGAAGAGUGGAAUUCCACGUGUAGCGGUGAAAUGCGUAGAGAUGUGGAGGAACACCAGUGGCGAAGGCGACUCUUUGGCCGGUAACUGACGCUGAGGCGCGAAAGCGUGGGGAGCAAACAGG